Molecule: non-coding RNA, 1326 nt
Organism: Epinephelus lanceolatus (giant grouper)
Lineage: Eukaryota; Metazoa; Chordata; Actinopteri; Perciformes; Serranidae
Source: RefSeq, a predicted model, not a curated record
GAGGAGGAGGAGGAGGGGGACGAAGAGGAAGAGGAGGAUAUGAAGUGACAGGAGGCAGCUGGAAACAUUACAGUAGAAGACAAAAGUAGAGAGAAUGAAGGAGAUGAGUGAUGAGGUGAACUGCUUAGAGGGAUGCUGACACUGCUGUUCCAGCUAAGAGCACCACUUGGCUCGGAGGUGUUCGUGAUGAGGCAGUGGGUUAUAUCCAGGACUUGGAAGCCAAGCUGAAGGAGGUAGCCUUACCAUCCCCUGCCCUCUUCAGCCGAUAUUGUGCGUCCGACGACCAGAUACGAUUUUACACAAAAUUUCCAUCUGAACGUGUGUUUAAGAUCUUCUGGGAGUCCAUUGCACCAUCUGCUUCCUGAUUGGCCUACUGGAGCAAGGCAAAGAGGAUAGGUCAAUCAGACAUCACACCCAGCCCCUCUCGUAGGAUGCCAUUAAUCGAUGAGUUUCUAAUGUACUCUAUGCGAGUAGCGGUUGGGAUGAAAGAGCAGCUCAUUGCUGACAUGUUUGAGGUCAGUGUAGCCACCGUGAGUCGAGUCACCAUCACCUGGGCCAACUGUCUCUUCCUGAUGCUGGGGUCACUUUCUCUCUGGGUGCGCAUGGACAAGGUGAAGUCUGUCAUGCCAGCAAAAUUUAAGAUGCACUGUCCCAAUGUCUGUGUGAUACUGGACUGCACUGUAAUUGCUGUGGCGACUGCCUCUUCACUAACAUUGCAAUCAGAAAUGUUCUUCCACUACAAAAUCAGGACGACCUUGAAGGGACUGAUCGGAGUCGCUCCCAAUGGUUUGGUAACGUUUUUCUUGCUCCUGUACACUGGAAGCAUCUCUGACAAGGAGAUUACAAAGAUCAGUGGAAUCCUUCCCUUACUUGAGCCAGGUAACGAAGUGAUGGCUGACAAAGGCUUUCUCAUUGAAGAUCUACUUUCUAAUGUUGGAGCAAAACUCAUCAUUCCACCCUUCAAGCGUUCAGCUCAAUUUACAAGAGAGGAAACCGAGAAAACACAAGCCAUCGCCCGUCUCAGGAUAGUAGUUGAGUGGGUAAUAGGCAGAGUUAAGUCCAACCACAUCUGGGACUCAUCUGCACCUCUCACUCUGAUGGGCACUGUCAACCAGAUCUGGCACAACUGUUGUGUUAUUGUUAAUUUUCAAGGACCUUUGUCCUAUGAAGAAUAAGUUGCUGAGAGGAUCAACAGCCCCAGCAACCUACAAAAAUUAUACAUUUGAAUGUAUUUAUGAGCAUUUUUUCAAAGAUGUACAUGUUGUAUAUUUUUAUAUAUAAAUUUUGUGGUUCAGUGUAACAGAAAUGAGCAAUAAUCCAACAGAA